RNAcentral lists this transfer RNA (72 nucleotides) under Sastragala edessoides. RNAcentral's name for it is "tRNA-Lys". RNAcentral also lists the same sequence under 1 other name. The record is from RNAcentral. Lineage: Eukaryota; Metazoa; Arthropoda; Insecta; Hemiptera; Acanthosomatidae.
CAUUAAGUGGCUGAAAUACCCUAAGCAAUGGUCUCUUAAACCAAACUAUGGUAAAUAUAUUACCCUUAAUGA